UACAGAGGGUGCAAGCGUUGUUCGGAAUUAUUGGGCGUAAAGAGCUUGUAGGCGGUUUGUCGCGUCUGCCGUGAAAAUCCGGGGCUCAACCCCGGACUUGCGGUGGGUACGGGCAGACUAGAGUGUGGUAGGGGAGACUGGAAUUCCUGGUGUAGCGGUGAAAUGCGCAGAUAUCAGGAGGAACACCGAUGGCGAAGGCAGGUCUCUGGGCCACUACUGACGCUGAGGUGCGAAAGCGUGGGGAGCAAACAGG
This 253-nucleotide ribosomal RNA is filed under the name uncultured bacterium. RNAcentral's name for it is "partial 16S ribosomal RNA". It matches the Rfam family "Bacterial small subunit ribosomal RNA", at positions 524 to 776 of the family's 1533-position model. The record is from RNAcentral.